Molecule: ribosomal RNA, 615 nt
Filed under: Salmonella enterica subsp. enterica serovar Agona str. 400095 22
Lineage: Bacteria; Pseudomonadati; Pseudomonadota; Gammaproteobacteria; Enterobacterales; Enterobacteriaceae
Description: bacterial LSU rRNA
Rfam family: Bacterial large subunit ribosomal RNA
Source: RNAcentral
UGACUGCGUACCUUUUGUAUAAUGGGUCAGCGACUUAUAUUCUGUAGCAAGGUUAACCGAUAGGGGAGCCGGAGGGAAACCGAGUCUUAAUUGGGCGUUAAGUUGCAGGGUAUAGACCCGAAACCCGGUGAUCUAGCCAUGGGCAGGUUGAAGGUUGGGUAACACUAACUGGAGGACCGAACCGACUAAUGUUGAAAAAUUAGCGGAUGACCUGUGGCUGGGGGUGAAAGGCCAAUCAAACCGGGAGAUAGCUGGUUCUCCCCGAAAGCUAUUUAGGUAGCGCCUCGUGAAUUCAUCUCCGGGGGUAGAGCACUGUUUCGGCUAGGGGGCCAUCCCGGCUUACCAACCCGAUGCAAACUGCGAAUACCGGAGAAUGUUAUCACGGGAGACACACGGCGGGUGCUAACGUCCGUCGUGAAGAGGGAAACAACCCAGACCGCCAGCUAAGGUCCCAAAGUCAUGGUUAAGUGGGAAACGAUGUGGGAAGGCCCAGACAGCCAGGAUGUUGGCUUAGAAGCAGCCAUCAUUUAAAGAAAGCGUAAUAGCUCACUGGUCGAGUCGGCCUGCGCGGAAGAUGUAACGGGGCUAAACCAUGCACCGAAGCUGCGGCAGCGA